AGUGAACGCUGGCGGUAGGCCUAACACAUGCAAGUCGAACGGCAGCACAGUAAGAGCUUGCUCUUACGGGUGGCGAGUGGCGGACGGGUGAGGAAUACAUCGGAAUCUACUUUUUCGUGGGGGAUAACGUAGGGAAACUUACGCUAAUACCGCAUACGACCUACGGGUGAAAGCAGUGGAUCUUCGGACCUUGCGCGAUUGAAUGAGCCGAUGUCGGAUUAGCUAGUUGGCGGGGUAAAGGCCCACCAAGGCGACGAUGCGUAGCUGGUCUGAGAGGAUGAUCAGCCACACUGGAACUGAGACACGGUCCAGACUCCUACGGGAGGCAGCAGUGGGGAAUAUUGGACAAUGGGCGCAAGCCUGAUCCAGCAAUACCGCGUGGGUGAAGAAGGCCUUCGGGUUGUAAAGCCCUUUUGUUGGGAAAGAAAAGCAGCAGGUUAAUACCCCGCUGUUCUGACGGUACCCAAAGAAUAAGCACCGGCUAACUUCGUG
RNAcentral lists this ribosomal RNA (492 nucleotides) under uncultured bacterium. Its description in RNAcentral is "partial 16S ribosomal RNA". It matches the Rfam family "Bacterial small subunit ribosomal RNA", at positions 29 to 507 of the family's 1533-position model. The record is from RNAcentral.